This is a long non-coding RNA of Drosophila elegans, 1282 nucleotides long. RefSeq lists it as uncharacterized. NCBI's taxonomy places the organism in Eukaryota, Metazoa, Arthropoda, Insecta, Diptera, Drosophilidae. The transcript is spliced from 2 exons. The record is from RefSeq and is a predicted model, not a curated record.
AACACACACACACACACACACACACACACACACACCUCAGCGCGGAAAAACGGACAAGGCUUUUCCACUCGCUCUCUCUUUCACUCUCUCUCUCUCUCGCCGAAAUAGCUUUUCUCAUCUUUCUCAUUAUUUUUGGCCAAAAGCUUUGGCUUGUUUUUGUUCGCAAUCGAAAUCGGAAACUUUCGCCUGCGACACUUUGCCGCAUUUGUUGUUGCUCUGCCCAACCGUACUAAAUUUCAUUAUCUCGAGUGGCCGCAUUGUUUGUUUAUUCGUUAAAUUCGUUAAAUGUUAUUGUUCCUAAUUGACAACGUUAAUGGGCAUUAAAUUAAUCAAUCUAACUUGAUAAGGUCUUAUCAAAUUUGUUGUAUAUACUUUGAAUUAAUAGUUUUGGUUUGUUUUUAUAAAACAACCGAAAAUCGAUCGCACACGUUUAAAGUCAGUAUUACACACACAAACACAUUAAUAGCCAGCCAGCUCUCCCACUCUCUCUGGCUCUCUCCAGCACACACACACACACACGAACAGGCUGCAGCUGUUUUGAGCCGCAAGCUUAACCGGAACAAAAUCGGAACCAGCGUGACCGACGACUCGCAGCAGAAUGCGGAGAAUCGGAAAAUCGUAGAAAACAGCAGCCGACCACAACAACAGCUGCACAAGCGGCGUCGGCGUCCGGGAUGAAAAACUUUUUGGCCGCGCUCACACACACACACAAACACCUGUACAUCUUAUAUAGGGGGCCUACAUAUUAUAGGAAAUUUGAUAUGAAAACAUUGACAAGCAGCCGCAUAAAGCUUUUAGCCUUCAGCUGUGUGCACACAGUUGUUGUUAGUAACGAGGGUGUAUAACAGUUUAGCAUUUUCGACUGGUGGAAAUUCUUCUUGCGGCACAAGAGAAGCGCAAAGCUUUUCCGAAAACGAAGCUGAGGUUGGAAAAGUUUUUAUUCUUAGCGUCGAUUGAUUGCUGGCCGGGAAACGGAAUGCGGCAAUGUGUAAGAUAAGCGCUAACAGGCAUAAACGGAAUGGCUAAACAUUUGGCUGAUAAAUUCUGGUGAUAAGGGUAUUCACAGUGUGGCUCUACACAAAUUAAAUCGAUUUUUGUUUGUCAUAGUUUCUUGUUUCGGUACAAAAUGAAAAUCAAAACUAUUUUUCUUUUUUUGGAAUAAUAAUUAUAAUUAUUUCUUAAUAAGUAAUUAGUAGCCAUUGUAUUCCUUUUCUGACAUUUUAAAAAAUAAUUUGAUUGUUUGCCAAGCGCACCCAAAAAAAUAAAAUGACUUGUUAAAAUA